RNAcentral lists this transfer RNA (84 nucleotides) under Cellulomonas phragmiteti. Its description in RNAcentral is "tRNA-Arg". Lineage: Bacteria; Bacillati; Actinomycetota; Actinomycetes; Micrococcales; Cellulomonadaceae. The record is from RNAcentral.
GGGGCGGUGCCGCGCAGGCCGCGGCGGUGCUCGCCGCGACCGAGCGGAUCCACGUCGGCAUCGGGAUCCUGCCCGCCGCCGCGC